RNAcentral lists this ribosomal RNA (253 nucleotides) under uncultured bacterium. Its description in RNAcentral is "partial 16S ribosomal RNA". It matches the Rfam family "Bacterial small subunit ribosomal RNA", at positions 524 to 776 of the family's 1533-position model. The record is from RNAcentral.
UACGUAGGGGGCAAGCGUUGUCCGGAAUCAUUGGGCGUAAAGAGCGUGUAGGCGGCUCGGUAAGUCUGCUGUGAAAGUCCAGGGCUCAACCCUGGGAUGCCGGUGGAUACUGUCGAGCUCGAGUCCGGAAGAGGCGAGUGGAAUUCCUGGUGUAGCGGUGAAAUGCGCAGAUAUCAGGAGGAACACCAAUUGCGAAGGCAGCUCGCUGGGACGUUACUGACGCUGAGACGCGAAAGCGUGGGGAGCGAACAGG